AAAGAUUAAGCCAUGCAUGUCUAAGCACAAACCUUUACACGGUGAAGCUGCGAAUGGCUCAUUAGGCCACCCAUGAUUUAUUAGAUUGUACAAUCCUACUUGGAUAACUGUGGUAAUUCUAGAGCUAAUACAUGCAAGUAAGCUCCGACCCCUCGGGGGAAGAGCGCGUUUAUUAGACCAAAACCAAUCGGGUUUUCGGAUCCGUACGUUUGGUGACUCUGGAUAACUUCGAGCUGAUCGCACGGCCUCGAGCUUGCGACGUAUCUUUCAAGUGUGUGCCCUAUCAACUGUCGAUGGUAAGUGAUAUGCUUACCAUGGUGG
RNAcentral lists this ribosomal RNA (321 nucleotides) under uncultured fungus. RNAcentral's name for it is "SSU rRNA". It matches the Rfam family "Eukaryotic small subunit ribosomal RNA", at positions 39 to 352 of the family's 1831-position model. The record is from RNAcentral. Lineage: Eukaryota; Fungi.